This 36-nucleotide transfer RNA is filed under the name Comandra umbellata. RNAcentral describes it as "partial tRNA-Leu". Lineage: Eukaryota; Viridiplantae; Streptophyta; Magnoliopsida; Santalales; Comandraceae. The record is from RNAcentral.
GACUUAAAAAAUCCGUCGACUUUGAAAGUCGUGAGG